Macaca fascicularis (crab-eating macaque) is the source of this 148-nucleotide unclassified non-coding RNA. It matches the Rfam family "Metazoan signal recognition particle RNA". From Rfam's summary of the family: The signal recognition particle (SRP) is a universally conserved ribonucleoprotein. It is involved in the co-translational targeting of proteins to membranes. Lineage: Eukaryota; Metazoa; Chordata; Mammalia; Primates; Cercopithecidae. The record is from Ensembl.
GCUGGGUGUAGUGGCACGCGCCUGUAAUCCCAGCUACUCAGGAGGCUGAGGCAGGAGAAUCACUUGAACCCGGGAGGUGGAGGUUGCAAUGAGCUGAGAUUGUGCCAUUGCACUCCAGCCUGGGUGACAGAGUGAGACUCUGCCUCAA